CCUACGGGAGGCAGCAGUGGGGAAUAUUGCACAAUGGGGGAAACCCUGAUGCAGCAACGCCGCGUGAAGGAAGACGGUUUUCGGAUUGUAAACUUCUGUUCUUAGUGAAGAAUAAUGACGGUAGCUAAGGAGCAAGCCACGGCUAACUACGUGCCAGCAGCCGCGGUAAUACGUAGGUGGCAAGCGUUAUCCGGAUUUACUGGGUGUAAAGGGAGCGUAGGCGGUUUAGCAAGUCAGAAGUGAAAGCCCGGGGCUCAACUCCGGGACUGCUUUUGAAACUGUUGAACUAGAUUGCAGGAGAGGUAAGUGGAAUUCCUAGUGUAGCGGUGAAAUGCUUAGAUAUCACGAAGAACUCCGAUUGCGAAGGCAGCUCACUGGACUGCAACUGACACUGAGGCUCGAAAGUGUGGGUAUCAAACAGGAUUAGAUACCCCGGUAGUC
Molecule: ribosomal RNA, 441 nt
Filed under: uncultured bacterium
Lineage: Bacteria
Description: partial 16S ribosomal RNA
Rfam family: Bacterial small subunit ribosomal RNA
Source: RNAcentral